UUCUAGGGUUUCAAUUUUCAAUCUCAAGAGGAAAAUGUUGAAGCGGAAGGCGUCACAGAAGAAGAUGUUCUCCCCAUCAUCUCCGGUACGAGCCCUUCAAGGCCAUCACCGACCACAAUCCAAGCGGUCGUCAUCAGGUUGACCCAAAUUUCAAAAGAGGCGGAGCAGACCACACUCACCACAGUAGUGAUCCAUUUGAGGCUACGUCACCGAGCUUCGUCACAAACCUACAAUCUCGAUGCGAAUCUCUGCCUUCUUCGUCUCUAUCAGAGUAGGAAAGGAAUCAACUUCCGGUGGGAGAGAAGGAAAGGAAUCAAAUACAAUAGAUAAAGUGACUAGCGUUGGCCGGCCUUGGUUUCAUGCAAAUAUAAAUGUUUUAGUCCUAGACAGUGAAGGAGAUGCUGAAUAUUUUACAGGUUAUGACUCAGACAGUUGGGUGCAAGCCUCAAGCAUACAAGCUAGAAAUUCUCAGAGAUAUC
Rosa rugosa (rugosa rose) is the source of this 479-nucleotide long non-coding RNA. RefSeq lists it as uncharacterized. Lineage: Eukaryota; Viridiplantae; Streptophyta; Magnoliopsida; Rosales; Rosaceae. The transcript has 4 exons. The record is from RefSeq and is a predicted model, not a curated record.